Molecule: long non-coding RNA, 1962 nt
Organism: Planococcus citri (citrus mealybug)
Lineage: Eukaryota; Metazoa; Arthropoda; Insecta; Hemiptera; Pseudococcidae
Exons: 7
Source: RefSeq, a predicted model, not a curated record
UCAAGAAAGUCUUAGCAUUUUACGUAUGUAUUACGUACUGCGCAUGGCAGGUUGGUGUCGUCACGCGGUGGAGGUGGGUGGAGCAACUAAUGGGGUGCAACGUUGUACGUGAACAGCUGAUUUGAUGCUUGCUCGCGCACUGCGCAGUACGUAAAACUUACGUAAAAUCCUAUGACUUUCUUAAGAGUAUAAUCUAUUUCCAUACUUGUAUUAAAGAGCUUUAGCGAUGGCGUCAUCGGCAUCUUAUCAGUUUAUCACGUGUUAUCAGUUAUAAACGGUAUUAAUAAACGGUGUUAUUAGUGUUACAGAAAUUACAGAUGUGUGAGAUGUGAGAUGGUAACGACAAACUCAAAAUGGAUGUGACAUGUAAAGCUACGGUACCUACGGUUCACAAUAUUAGCGAAGUGAAAUUCUACACAAUUCCAUCAACCUGACUAGUUUGCAAAGAAGAUUCGUUCCAUGCAUUGAACAAGGAACCGAAAAACGACAACAGAUGUAGGAAAUGCACUGGAAUGACACUCGUACUAGCAAAACUUCCGCUCCAGUAGUCGAAAAUUCGAGCUCCUCACGAAGAUGAAUUUUAUGAUGCAGUGGAUGAGUGGAACCGAGUUUAGAAUCUAGUGAUAACAAAAUGUCAACGAAACCGGAUGAAAAUGAGAAUGAUACCUUGCCCCAGAUCAACCGUUUGGAACAUCGUCUUUCGGCAGAGCUACUUUGGAAGCAAACGGCAUGGAAGUAAUGGAAAAAUUAUCGGAUGAUACGUACGCUUAUUUUUCAUCAAAAUACAUAAACGAGUCUGGCCCACACCUCAAAGAGACGUCGUGUUUUGGUCACAUAUGCGUCAUGCACCAAAAGAUGAACAAGAUGACCAAUCUGUAUAUAAUUCUUGCGUAGUCGUUAAUAAUUCCACAGAUGUUAUAUCUCAUCCUCCCAAUUCUGGCAAAUUCGUCCGAAUUUUUAUGACGGUAUGUUUAAUGUGCCUGAGACCAUUAUCUUAAAUCCAUCCAAAGACGUGUCUCAACUGAAUAGCUGAAUAGAAACGAAAUAGUUAGCUUGUGAAAUUACGUACUGUUCUGUUGAUAUAAAGCCAUGAAAAUAUCCAGAUUUAAAGUGGAAUAAUAAGAUUGUGACUUCAAGAAUCUCUCAGAUUCGAGAAAUGUUCAUUUUGAUCGAUGAUCGCCUAUGAAUAAGUGUGAAGACCGACGAGUUACCAGUCCUGUACCAAAAAUCGUCGCCUCUUUGCCAGCAUCACAAUUAUUUGCAGAAAGACUUGCAAGAAGGAACAGCAGGCGUGAAAUUUCAACUUCGAUAUUCGCUUUUUAGUGGUACCUUAAUGAGAUGCGAAAACUACUCAACUUUUUUCCUAUCGUUACAGUGUGCAAUUUCUUAUCAGAAAUGGCUUCAGAUAGGUCUUAAAAUUACAGAAAAUACAUUUCAGUCCUAUUCAGACGGAUGCGAUUACAGUUUUAAAUUUCUUCAUAAAAAAGAAACUAGCUCUUAUAGUUUUUUAAAGGAACUGUUCUAUAAAUUUCAACUAGUGGCCUAACAUUUAUGGUCUUUGAUUGAUUUUCAGAAAUAGCCUACAGUUACGAGCAUUUUGGAACUAAAAUGUAAAUACUGGGAAAGGAUGCGGGUUGUAACCGUUCAUCAAAUUAGACUGUUGUAUCGGCACGAAGUAUUUUUAUUGCCUGUUUUAUUUUAUUACAGUUUUUUUUCACUCAUGUGGCGAAAAUUUUUCUCAUGCGUCAUAUUUUUAUUUUGUAUCGAAAAGUAGCACGUUUAUUACUUUGUUAAUACGCUCAGUAGAGUCGACUGCAUACCAUUUCUGUUGAAAAAAAAUCAUCAUUCGUAUACAUAAAGUACAAUAAGAAAUGGAGGUGCAUUGUCUAGCCAUUUUCCGAAGUUGAUGUUCAAUUAUUUUCAAUAAGAAACAUUUUUCUGAAAAAUAAAAAAAUGCCUACU